AAACCAGCACCUCAAGUGGUCAGGAUGAUUAUUGGGCCUAAAGCAUCCGUAGCCUGCUUUGUAAGUUUCCGGUUAAAUCCAUUAGCUCAACUGAUGGGCCGCCGGAAAAACUGCAAAGCUAGGGAGUGGGAGAGGUAGACGGUACUCAGUAGGAAGGGGUAAAAUCCUUUGAUCUAUUGAUGACCACCAGUGGCGAAGGCGGUCUACCAGAACACGUUCGACGGUGAGGGAUGAAAGCUGGGGGAGCAAACCGGAUUAGAAACCCGAGUAGUCC
RNAcentral lists this ribosomal RNA (274 nucleotides) under uncultured bacterium. RNAcentral describes it as "partial 16S ribosomal RNA". It matches the Rfam family "Archaeal small subunit ribosomal RNA", at positions 473 to 747 of the family's 1478-position model. The record is from RNAcentral.